Molecule: ribosomal RNA, 458 nt
Filed under: uncultured bacterium
Lineage: Bacteria
Description: bacterial SSU rRNA
Rfam family: Bacterial small subunit ribosomal RNA
Source: RNAcentral
AGGCAGCAGUUAGGAAUCUUCCGCAAUGGACGAAAGUCUGGUGGAGCAACGCCGCGUGAGCGAAGAAGGCCUUCGGGUCGUAAAGCUCUGUUGUCAGGGAAGAACAAGUAUCGGAGUAACUGCCGGUACCUUGACGGUACCUGACCAGAAAGCCACGGCUAACUACGUGCCAGCAGCCGCGGUAAUACGUAGGUGGCAAGCGUUGUCCGGAAUUAUUGGGCGUAAAGCGCGUGCAGGCGGUCCUUUAAGUCUGAUGUGAAAGCCCACGGCUCAACCGUGGAGGGUCAUUGGAAACUGGGGGACUUGAGUGCAGAAGAGGAGAGCGGAAUUCCACGUGUAGCGGUGAAAUGCGUAGAGAUGUGGAGGAACACCAGUGGCGAAGGCGGCUCUCUGGUCUGUAACUGACGCUGAGGCGCGAAAGCGUGGGGAGCGAACAGGAUUAGAUACCCGAGUAGUCC